RNAcentral lists this ribosomal RNA (859 nucleotides) under Squalus acanthias (spiny dogfish). RNAcentral's name for it is "partial 16S ribosomal RNA". The stretch from base 183 to 859 matches the Rfam family "Bacterial large subunit ribosomal RNA", at positions 568 to 1687 of the family's 2925-position model. Lineage: Eukaryota; Metazoa; Chordata; Chondrichthyes; Squaliformes; Squalidae. The record is from RNAcentral.
UUAAAGCUAGCCUAACCAAUCGUAUAAACACAACCUUAUCAAUUAUACCUACACUACUAUUAUUAAAUUAAAACAUUUUAUACCUUUUAGUAUGGGUGACAGAACAAUAAAUAUUAGCGCAAUAGACUAUGUACCGCAAGGGAAAGCUGAAAAAGAAAUGAAAUAAAUAUUAAAGUAACAAAAAGCAGAGACUCAACCUCGUACCUUUUGCAUCAUGAUUUAGCUAGAUCAACUAGGCAAAGAGAUCUUAAGUCUAUCUUCCCGAAACUAAACGAGCUACUCCGAAGCAGCACAUUAGAGCCAACCCGUCUCUGUGGCAAAAGAGUGGGAAGACUUCCGAGUAGCGGUGACAGACCUAUCGAGUUUAGUGAUAGCUGGUUGCCCAAGAAAAGAACUUAAAUUCUGCAUUAAUUUUUUUACCACCAAUUAAGAACAUCUUCUUAAGGUUAAAAAUAAGAAUUAAUAGUUAUUUAGAAGAGGUACAGCCCUUCUAAAUUAAGAUACAACUUUUAAAGGUGGGUAAUGAUCACAUUUUAUUAAAGGUUUUUCCCCCAGUGGGCCUAAGAGCAGCCAUCUGUAAAGUAAGCGUCACAGCUCCAGCUUUAUUUAAACCUAUAAUUUAGAUAUUAUCUCACAACCCCCUUACCUGUAUUGGGUUAUUUUAUAUAAUUAUAAAAGAACUUAUGCUAAAAUGAGUAAUAAGAGGCCAAACCUCUCCUAACACAAGUGUACGUCAGAAAGAAUUAAAUCACUGAUAAUUAAACGAACCCAGACUGAGGACAUAAUAUUAAUUUACCAUUAACUAGAAAACCUUAUUUAACUAUUCGUUAACCCUACACAGGAGUGUCUCAAGGAAAGA